CUUCAGCAAGCUAGUGGGAUAUAUAUAUAUACAUUUCUAUAAACAACUUACAUAUUAAUUACACACGAUGACAAACCUGUUUCAUACUUGUGAUUUAAAAGUAACUACUACAGUAUCAUAUAACGGAAUUGACCACAUCGAUUUCCCAUUAUUUAUUGUUAUUAUAGAAUAUAUGCAUCGGCUAAAUUAAAUAUAUAAACUACCGCGCGGCCGGCUUCUUCAUUUAGUAACCGGUGUGCUUCUCUAUUCAAAUGUUUUACCGGGAGUCCAAGCACCAACAGUAUUAAUCGGACCUCGAGAUCCCCAACAUUUCAUCUGGGCUCAUCCUCUCAAGCUCAUUUUGCCUCCAAGAUGCAAAAUUAUUUUUGUUUUGUGGGUCUGUCGCAAGCGGGAAGUCCUCAUUUUUAUGAGGUUGGGACUUCAUUCUCAUGUAAAGCCUCAUUGUUGCCACACAGUCCUCGUAAGUAUCUUGUAUACCUGUCUGAAU
This 487-nucleotide long non-coding RNA is filed under the name Panax ginseng (ginseng). RNAcentral describes it as "long non-coding RNA (PGIN_LNC012327)". Lineage: Eukaryota; Viridiplantae; Streptophyta; Magnoliopsida; Apiales; Araliaceae. The record is from RNAcentral.